GUCAUAUGACUGACGGAACCGUGGAAUCAACCACAAGGAAGUAUGAUCAUAGAUAAGCCGACCGUCUGGGCAGCCU
Molecule: non-coding RNA, 76 nt
Filed under: uncultured Anaerostipes sp.
Lineage: Bacteria; Bacillati; Bacillota; Clostridia; Lachnospirales; Lachnospiraceae
Description: ZMP/ZTP riboswitch
Rfam family: ZMP/ZTP riboswitch aptamer (pfl RNA motif)
About the family: Previously known as pfl RNA. ZMP is also known as AICAR.
Source: RNAcentral